This 354-nucleotide ribosomal RNA is filed under the name uncultured Sphingomonadales bacterium. Its description in RNAcentral is "bacterial SSU rRNA". It matches the Rfam family "Bacterial small subunit ribosomal RNA", at positions 29 to 412 of the family's 1533-position model. Lineage: Bacteria; Pseudomonadati; Pseudomonadota; Alphaproteobacteria; Sphingomonadales. The record is from RNAcentral.
AACGAACGCUGGCGGCAUGCCUAACACAUGCAAGUCGAACGCUCCGCAAGGGGAGUGGCGCACGGGUGCGUAACGCGUGGGAAUCUGCCCAAAGGUUCGGAAUAACUCAGGGAAACUUGAGCUAAUACCGAAUGAUGCCGCAAGGCCAAAGAUUUAUCGCCUUUGGAUGAGCCCGCGUAGGAUUAGCUAGUUGGUGGGGUAAAGGCCUACCAAGGCGACGAUCCUUAGCUGGUCUGAGAGGAUGAUCAGCCACACUGGGACUGAGACACGGCCCAGACUCCUACGGGAGGCAGCAGUGGGGAAUAUUGGACAAUGGGCGAAAGCCUGAUCCAGCAAUGCCGCGUGAGUGAAGAA